Molecule: ribosomal RNA, 497 nt
Filed under: uncultured bacterium
Lineage: Bacteria
Description: partial 16S ribosomal RNA
Rfam family: Bacterial small subunit ribosomal RNA
Source: RNAcentral
GAUGAACGCUGGCGGCGUGCCUAAUAAAUGAAAGCCGAGCGAACAGACGAGGAGCUUGCCCCCCUGACGUUAGCGGCGGCGGGGGGAGUAAAACUUGGAUAACUUACCUAUAAGACUGGGUUAACUUCGGGAAACCGGACUUAAAACCGGAAAAAAUUUUGAACGCAAGGGUUCAAAAGUGAAAGCGGGUUUUGCUGUCACUAAAAGAUGGAUCCGCGCCGCAUUAGCUAGUUGGUAAGGUAACGGCUUACCAAGGCAACGAUGCGUAGCCGACCUGAGAGGGUGAUCGGCCACACUGGAACUGAGACACGGUCCAGACUCCUACGGGAGGCAGCAGUAGGGAAUCUUCCGCAAUGGGCGAAAGCCUGACGGAGCAACGCCGCGUGAGUGAUGAAGGUCUUCGGAUCGUAAAACUCUGUUAUUAGGGAAGAACAAAUGUGUAAGUAACUAUGCACGUCUUGACGGUACCUAAUCAGAAAGCCACGGCUAACUACGUG